This 354-nucleotide ribosomal RNA is filed under the name uncultured soil bacterium. RNAcentral describes it as "bacterial SSU rRNA". It matches the Rfam family "Bacterial small subunit ribosomal RNA", at positions 26 to 408 of the family's 1533-position model. The record is from RNAcentral.
AGAACGAACGCUGGCGGCAUGCCUAAUACAUGCAAGUCGAACGAACUCUUCGGAGUUAGUGGCGCACGGGUGCGUAACGCGUGGGAAUCUGCCCCUUGGUUCGGAAUAACAGUUGGAAACGACUGCUAAUACCGGAUGAUGACGAAAGUCCAAAGAUUUAUCGCCAAGGGAUGAGCCCGCGUAGGAUUAGCUAGUUGGUGAGGUAAAGGCUCACCAAGGCAACGAUCCUUAGCUGGUCUGAGAGGAUGAUCAGCCACACUGGGACUGAGACACGGCCCAGACUCCUACGGGAGGCAGCAGUAGGGAAUAUUGGACAAUGGGCGAAAGCCUGAUCCAGCAAUGCCGCGUGAGUGA